Molecule: ribosomal RNA, 483 nt
Filed under: uncultured bacterium
Lineage: Bacteria
Description: partial 16S ribosomal RNA
Rfam family: Bacterial small subunit ribosomal RNA
Source: RNAcentral
GACGAACGCUGGCGGCGUGCUUAACACAUGCAAGUCGAGCGAUGAACCCGGAGCUUGCUCCGGCGGAUUAGUGGCGAACGGGUGAGUAACACGUGAGUAACCUGCCCUUGACUCUGGGAUAACUGCGGGAAACUGUAGCUAAUACCGGAUACGACCCUCGGCGGCAUCGCCAGGGGGUGGAAAGAAUCUCGGUCAAGGAUGGACUCGCGGCCUAUCAGCUAGUUGGUGAGGUAACGGCUCACAAGGCGACGACGGGUAGCCGGCCUGAGAGGGUGACCGGCCACACUGGGACUGAGACACGGCCCAGACUCCUACGGGAGGCAGCAGUGGGGAAUAUUGCACAAUGGGCGCGAGCCUGAUGCAGCAACGCCGCGUGAGGGAUGACGGCCUUCGGGUUGUAAACCUCUUUUAGUAGGGAAGAAGCGAAAGUGACGGUACCUGCAGAAAAAGCACCGGCUAACUACGUGCCAGCCGCCGCCGUAA